This 410-nucleotide long non-coding RNA is filed under the name Homo sapiens (human). Its description in RNAcentral is "HSALNT0077471". The record is from RNAcentral. Lineage: Eukaryota; Metazoa; Chordata; Mammalia; Primates; Hominidae.
GAGCUUACAAAAAGCUUGAUUGAAAAGAGAAGAGAAUGGAACACGGUAUGAUGACAACAAAGAGAAAAGGAGCCAAGAUUAGUCUGGACAGUAUGCAGACAUUGACUCUGCUUUGAGGACAGAGCUGGAAUUAAUUUCACGUGCACCACAUAAGGAGCUUCCGCCUAUUGCCUCUGCCCUCCCUGCACCGUGGGACACAUGAAGUAGUCUUAGUUCCAGCAGAUGGUAACAUCAGCUUCCUGGCCAACCUGGCAUUUCCCCAGGGAAGAAGGGAAGACGGAAUAAGGUUAUUAAUAUAUUCAAGUGAUAAUUUUUUUUUAAAUUUUCUUAAAGUCUCAUUUGACCUUAGUGCCUAUAAAUAAAUUUAUGUUGUUUUUUCAUGGCAUGGUAUGUCCAUUUUGGGAACUAAG